Molecule: ribosomal RNA, 253 nt
Filed under: uncultured bacterium
Lineage: Bacteria
Description: partial 16S ribosomal RNA
Rfam family: Bacterial small subunit ribosomal RNA
Source: RNAcentral
UACAGAGGAGCCAAGCGUUGUCCGGAUUGACUGGGCGUAAAGCGCACGUAGGCGGACUACUAAGUCAGGGGUGAAAUCCCGGGGCUCAACCCCGGAACUGCCUUUGAUACUGGUAGUCUCGAGUCCGGAAGAGGUGAGUGGAAUUCCGAGUGUAGAGGUGAAAUUCGUAGAUAUUCGGAGGAACACCAGUGGCGAAGGCGGCUCACUGGUCCGGUACUGACGCUGAGGUGCGAAAGCGUGGGGAGCAAACAGG